This 88-nucleotide transfer RNA is filed under the name Chloroflexota bacterium. RNAcentral describes it as "tRNA-Leu". It matches the Rfam family "tRNA". From Rfam's summary of the family: Transfer RNA (tRNA) molecules are approximately 80 nucleotides in length. Their secondary structure includes four short double-helical elements and three loops (D, anti-codon, and T loops). The record is from RNAcentral. Lineage: Bacteria; Bacillati; Chloroflexota.
GCGGAAGUGGUGAAACGGCAGACACGCAGGUCUUAGGAACCUGUGCCCCGCAAAGGGCGUGGGGGUUCGAGUCCCCCCUUCCGCACCA